This 821-nucleotide ribosomal RNA is filed under the name Glomus cf. clarum Att894-7. RNAcentral's name for it is "eukaryotic LSU rRNA". It matches the Rfam family "Eukaryotic large subunit ribosomal RNA", at positions 1 to 668 of the family's 3401-position model. The record is from RNAcentral. Lineage: Eukaryota; Fungi; Glomeromycota; Glomeromycetes; Glomerales; Glomeraceae.
AUUUGACCUCAAAUCAGGUAAGAAUACCCGCUGAACUUAAGCAUAUCAAUAAGCGGAGGAAAAGAAAAUAACAAUGAUUCCCCUAGUAACUGCGAGUGAAGAGGGACAAGCUCAAAUUUUAAAUCCGUCGGGUUACACCUGACCGAGUUGUAAUUUGAAGAGGCGUUUUCCGCGUUUUUGAUCAGUCCAAGUCCUUUGGGAUAGGGCAUCAUGGAGGGUGAGAAUCCCGUUCGGCUGAUCAGAUUCGCUUUACGAUACGUCAUCUAAGAGUCAAGUUGUUUGGGAAUGCAGCUUAAAAUGGGAGGUAAAUUUCUCCUAAGGCUAAAUAACGGCGAGAGACCGAUAGCGAACAAGUACCGUGAGGGAAAGAUGAAAAGAACUUUGAAAAGAGAGUUAAACAGUACGUGAAAUUGUUGAAAGGGAAACGAUUGAAGCCAGUCGUACCGGUGGGUAAUCAGCCUUUCGGCGUGAUUAUGUGGAGCGUGAGGAGUUAAACGCCCUCAUGGCCUGAAUAUUCGUGUUCUUUGGGUGUACUUACCCGCAUGGUAGGUUAACAUCAAUUUCGAACGUCAUAAAAUGGUUGGAGGAAUGUAGCUUCGAUCUCGUAUUGAAGUGUUAUAGACUCCGGCAGAUGUGAUGAUCGGGAUUGAGGAUUGCAACGGAUACCCUUCGGGGCUACCCGUCUGAUCUCUGAAAGUUGCUCUGGUGCCGAAAGCUCGCUUACGGUCAUCAAAGUUGACGUUCAACAGGUUAGAACGGGAUAAAUUCGUUAAGGAUGUUGACGUAAUGGCUUUAAACGACCCGUCUUGAAACACGGACCA